RNAcentral lists this ribosomal RNA (253 nucleotides) under uncultured bacterium. RNAcentral's name for it is "partial 16S ribosomal RNA". It matches the Rfam family "Bacterial small subunit ribosomal RNA", at positions 524 to 776 of the family's 1533-position model. The record is from RNAcentral.
AACGUAGGAGACAAACGUUAUCCGGAGUUACUGGGCGUAAAGGGCGUGUAGGUGGUUGCGUAAGUCGACUGUGAAAUCUCCGGGCUUAACCCGGAAAGGUCAGCCGAUACUGCGGGGCUAGAGUGCAGAAGGGGCAACUGGAAUUCUCGGUGUAGCGGUGAAAUGCGUAGAUAUCGAGAGGAACACCUGCGGCGAAGGCGGGUUGCUGGGCUGACACUGACGCUGAUGCGCGAAAGCUAGGGGAGCGAACGGG